AUACGUAGGGGGCGAGCGUUGUCCGGAAUGAUUGGGCGUAAAGGGCGCGUAGGCGGCCCGGUAAGUCUGGAGUGAAAGUCCUGUUUUUAAGAUGGGAAUUGCUUUGGAUACUGUCGGCUUGAGUGCAGGAGAGGUAAGUGGAAUUCCCAGUGUAGCGGUGAAAUGCGUAGAGAUUGGGAGGAACACCAGUGGCGAAGGCGACUUACUGGACUGUAACUGACGCUGAGGCGCGAAAGUGUGGGGAGCAAACAGGAUUAGAUACCCUGGUAGUCCACACUGUAAACGAUGAAUGCUAGGUGUAGGGGGUAUCGACCCCUUCUGUGCCGCAGUCAACACAAUAAGCAUUCCGCCUGGGGAGUACGGCCGCAAGGUUGAAACUUAAAGGAAUUGACGGGG
Molecule: ribosomal RNA, 396 nt
Filed under: uncultured bacterium
Lineage: Bacteria
Description: partial 16S ribosomal RNA
Rfam family: Bacterial small subunit ribosomal RNA
Source: RNAcentral